AGCCCUAAAUCAAAUAAUUAUAAAAACAUAUUUAUUCGCCAGAGUAGUACCGGUAACAGCGGGAAACUCACAGGACUUGGCGGUGCUUUAUACACGACUAGAGGAGCCUAGUCCUAUAAUCGAUAAACCCUGAUAAACCUCACCAAUCCUUGCUAAUACGGUGUAAAUGCCGCCAUCUUCAGCAAACCCUAAAAAAGGGACAAAAGUUAGCUCAAUAAUAACACAUCAGACGUUAGGUCAAGGUGUAACCUAUGGAGUGGGAAGAAAUGGGGUACAUUUUCUACCCAAGAAAAUUUAAUACGAAAGCCAUUAUGAAAUUAAUAGCCAAAGGAGGAUUUAGCUGUGAACUAAGAAUAGAGUGAAUAGUUGAAUCAGGCCCUGAAGCAUGC
RNAcentral lists this ribosomal RNA (389 nucleotides) under Ovis aries (sheep). Its description in RNAcentral is "partial 12S ribosomal RNA". Lineage: Eukaryota; Metazoa; Chordata; Mammalia; Artiodactyla; Bovidae. The record is from RNAcentral.